GCGGCGCGGCGGGCGGGGUGCACGCAUGGCGAGUUCUGCGGGGCUCGCGUUGUGCGGCCAGGCGCUGGUGGUGCGGGGCGGCAGCCGCUUCCUGGCCACCUCCACUGCGAGCAGUGAUGAUGACAGUGUCUUCAUGUACGAUUGCAGUACAACAGAAGAGAAGGCACCAGAAAGUAAUGGGGAGGACAGACAGCCUGUGGACAAAGGGAGUGACAUGAUUCUGGCGUCCACCUUCUCCACGUCUGGCAGCUAUUUUGCUUUAACUGAUGACAGUAAGCGUCUGAUUCUUUUCCGUACAAAACCAUGGCAAUGUCUGAGUGUCAGGGCUGUGGUGAGGAGGUGCACGGCGCUCACCUUCACGGCCUCCGAGGAGCAGGUCUUGGUAGCUGACAAGUCUGGAGACGUCUAUUCCUUCUCGGUGCUGGAGCCCGAGGGACCAGGCAGGCUGGAGCUCGGGCACCUGUCCAUGCUGCUGGACGUGGCUGUGAGUCCUGAUGACCGCUUCGUGCUCACUGCAGAUCGUGAUGAGAAGAUCCGCGUCAGCUGGGCAGCCGCACCGCACAGCAUUGAGGCCUUCUGCCUGGGGCACACGGAGUUUGUGAGCCGCAUCUUUGUGGUGCCCGGUCACCCCGAGCUGCUCCUGUCUUCCUCUGGGGACGGCACCUUGCGGCUGUGGGAGUACAGGAGUGGCCUCCAGCUCCAUUGCUGCGACCUGGCUGGCCUGUGGGCGCCGGCGGAAUCCAAGGACCACAAGGGCCUUGCUGCAUCCAGGAUUACGUUCUGGGGCCAGGAGAGCUGCGUGGCAGUUCUGUGUGACUGCGUUCCUGCCGUGUUCGUCUUCCAGCUCGAUGCUGACACACGGCAGCUGGUAUUCAGACAGCAGCUCAGCUUCCCCCAGCGGGUGUGGGACGUCGUGUUCGAGGACGCCCGGGGAUUGUGGGUUUUGCAGGACUGCCGCGAGGCCCCCCUCAUGCUCUGGAGGCCUGUGGAUGGCCAGUGGCAGCCUGUCUGUGAAAGCGCCGUGUCCCAGAGGCUCUCCAGCCGGCUCCGCGGGGACUGGGCCAUGUUGGAAGGCUCCGUGAGUGCGGAGGACAGCUUCCGCAGCCUCUACAAGGCCACCUUCGACAACAUGGCCUCCUACCUGAGGAAGAAGGGGGAGAGGCUGCAGCAGCAGCGGGGGAGGAAGCGGCCGCAGAGCCCUCCGCCGGGGCCCAGCAAGAGGGCGCGGCCCGGCCCGCAGCCCUGACCUGCCGACCCCGCCGGAGCCCCCUCCCCCCGCCCGCGGCCCUCAUCAGGAACGGGGCGCAGCUAGGUCUCCAGCAGCUCGGCACAGCACAACCCCUGCUCUCCAGGCUCCAGAACGUUCUGCCUCGCUGGAUACAGCCCUUGUCUGGCAGCUUUUCACUAGUUCUGGUAUGGAAAGCGCCGUGAGCGCCUCGUGCUCCCGCAGGCACCGGUGCAGAGGUUGCAGAGGCCCGAGCCAGGUUACUCGGAGGCGUGGUUGAACAGCCAUUUGGAGUUUUUUCCCCAGACUUCCUCUGUUAACUGAGUUCUGGCUCAAUUGGACUGAGGUCUCAGAAUCCACCCUGAUUUGCUAUAGGCCUGCUUGUCGGCUGUGGUGUCUGUGAGCCUGGCCUGGUGUGAGUGAAGAACACCAUCAGCUGCUUCACUUUUGUUUACAUCUCAUCUUUGGUCACUGCAGUGUUUAAGUGUCUAGCCCUAGCUGUGGCUUGGGUAACCUUCCGUUGUCUUAGCUUUCUGUGUUUUAGACCCUGACGGGGCGCACGUGCCUAGCAGGUCACUGCUUCUCAGUCAUCGGGAGCCACGCCCCCUCCUCCCUGUUUUUAUUCUUUGUUCUAAAGUAUUACCUGAAAUUAAGGAACUACUCUACUCCAUGGUUCCUGUGAUUGCUGUGGCCUGUCCUGCAGGUGUGUGAUGUGUGUGCACUGCACACGCCUUUCAUACUCCCUCAGCUUUUUCACUCAAGGCUGGCACUCCACUGCUUGAGCCAC
Dipodomys spectabilis (banner-tailed kangaroo rat) is the source of this 2012-nucleotide RNA transcript. It is a transcript of the gene named WD repeat domain 4, with no coding region annotated. The record is from RefSeq and is a predicted model, not a curated record. The transcript has 12 exons. NCBI's taxonomy places the organism in Eukaryota, Metazoa, Chordata, Mammalia, Rodentia, Heteromyidae.